Molecule: ribosomal RNA, 465 nt
Filed under: uncultured Klebsiella sp.
Lineage: Bacteria; Pseudomonadati; Pseudomonadota; Gammaproteobacteria; Enterobacterales; Enterobacteriaceae
Description: bacterial SSU rRNA
Rfam family: Bacterial small subunit ribosomal RNA
Source: RNAcentral
CCUACGGGAGGCAGCAGUGGGGAAUAUUGCACAAUGGGCGCAAGCCUGAUGCAGCCAUGCCGCGUGUGUGAAGAAGGCCUUCGGGUUGUAAAGCACUUUCAGCGGGGAGGAAGGCGGUGAGGUUAAUAACCUCAUCGAUUGACGUUACCCGCAGAAGAAGCACCGGCUAACUCCGUGCCAGCAGCCGCGGUAAUACGGAGGGUGCAAGCGUUAAUCGGAAUUACUGGGCGUAAAGCGCACGCAGGCGGUCUGUCAAGUCGGAUGUGAAAUCCCCGGGCUCAACCUGGGAACUGCAUUCGAAACUGGCAGGCUAGAGUCGUGUAGAGGGGGGUAGAAUUCCAGGUGUAGCGGUGAAAUGCGUAGAGAUCUGGAGGAAUACCGGUGGCGAAGGCGGCCCCCUGGACAAAGACUGACGCUCAGGUGCGAAAGCGUGGGGAGCAAACAGGAUUAGAUACCCGAGUAGUC